CGCACCUUGCGCUUGCUGGUAUUCCGGCAAGCAUACCUGUUUGAGUGUCAUGAACUCUUCAACCCUGCAAUUCCUUGUUUUGAAUUGAGAGGUGUUUGGAUUUUGAACACUUGCUGGCUUUUGAAUUUCAAAAGCGAAGCUUGUUCGUAAUAUAUUAGCAUCUCAAUUUCGAAUUCAAUUCGGUUUGACUCGGCGUAAUAGACUUUACAUUCGCUGAGGACACUUUUCGUAAGUGGCCGAAUUUCGAAGUAGAAGCUUCUAAUUCACUUGUGAAAGUCAAUUUAAGAUUAGACCUCAAAUCAGGCAGGAUUACCCGCUGAACUUAA
This 326-nucleotide unclassified non-coding RNA is filed under the name Colacogloea effusa. Its description in RNAcentral is "partial contains 5.8S ribosomal RNA, internal transcribed spacer 2, and large subunit ribosomal RNA". The record is from RNAcentral. Lineage: Eukaryota; Fungi; Basidiomycota; Microbotryomycetes; Colacogloeaceae.